AUCGAGGCUAGGGUCCCACUUGGGUAUCAGCUGUUGCCUUAGUGUGCUAGAGUCCUUGAAGAAGUAACUGCUGACCUUAUUCACUGACUGUGACCCUUAUGGCAUAGUCAGUCACCAGGUUAGUAACAUAC
Bubalus bubalis (water buffalo) is the source of this 131-nucleotide small nucleolar RNA. RefSeq annotates it as small nucleolar RNA SNORA3/SNORA45 family. The record is from RefSeq and is a predicted model, not a curated record. The transcript has a single exon. Lineage: Eukaryota; Metazoa; Chordata; Mammalia; Artiodactyla; Bovidae.